AUUAUAUCAUCACAAUUAAACAUUAUAAUGAUUCGACCUUCUCCACCAGAUUUCCCUUCUCCUCUCCUCCAUCAAAUUUCAACCGGCGAUUCUCGACCCACCGGCCGAUGCCACCUCCAUUUUCCCCUCCCUCUGCCGGCGAUUCGACUCACCGGCCGCAGUCGCGAUCUGCCACCUUUCGCCGCCCGCUAGAGAUCUGCUCUUCCACAUUCUCCGAUGCCACCUCCAUUUUCCCCUGCCUCCCCCGGCAAUUUGGCUCACCGGCCGCAUUCCACCGCGAUUCGCCGCAAUGAGAUCUGUCCCUUCCACAGUUCCACCUUCUGAUUCGAGGUCCGGCGAAGGGCGCCUCUUUGCGAUUUCCGGCGCGAAUCGCCGCGCCCCUAGAUCCCCAAAUCCUCACCGCCUCUUUGCGAUUUUUGGCGACCACGGCAGCCAUGGCCGCUGAUCUGCCCCUCCCACCACCAGAAAACCAGAAAUCGAUCGCCCACCUCCCUUCCCCCUAUGGUAAGUAUUAAAUGUUUGACUAUUUUAAAUAUGGAAUGAUUAUUAUUUUAGAUAGAACAAAUUUUGGAAAGAUGUUUAACAAUGGAAACUUAAACCCUAGAUUUUUAUGUUAAUUUAUUUUCGGUUGCUGCAAAUUAUGUAAAUAUAGAAUGGUUGUAAACUUUAGAAAGAAUUUUUUUUGGAAAUUUUUUUAUCAAAGGAAACUUAAACCCUAAAUUUUCAUCUAUAAAUUCAUUAGUUUGAAUAAUUAACAAUGCAGCAAUCGCAAGGUAACCUUCUUCUUCUUUUGUUGUCUUUCUUUUCUUUUGCAUUAACGCGGUAAUACCUUCUUAUUUUUCUUCUUUUUCCAUAUUUUUGGUUCUAGGUGCCUGGUCCAGAACCGCCGCUCGCCAGCCGCUGUGUUGCAGUCGGCCACUCCUAUUCUCACUUCAACUGUAAGUUCUCCGAAUUCUCUCACCCUCAUUUUCAGUUAUGUCAACAGAUUGUUUUCUGGUGUUUCCACUUCAUUAGAAUUGUAUUCAUUUCAUGGUUGUGUUCAAGUGAAAGGUUUCGUUUUGUUGCAAAUGAUUUGUUGCAAAUGAUGCAUCUGUGUGCUCUACAUUUGGAGAGGAAUAUAAUGAGAUAUUGUUUUGUUUUACUGUAAUCCAUGACAUUUUAAACUCAAACAAGUUUGUCCUUGAUUGGCUUGCUGUUCAAUAUUUUGGUGUCAUAAAGUCCCAUGUUAUGAUUCUGCACUUACAUGUAAGGGGGCCUCUUUAAGUUUAAACUCUACAGUGAAAUUGUAAGUUUCUUCUUCUUCUUCUGUUCCUAUAAUCUAAACGUAUUGUAUUCAUUUCAUGGUUGUGUUCAACUACUAGAGUAUCUGGAAACUUUACAAUUCGCGGCGGCGGUAACCUUCUUCUUCUUCUUCUUCUAUAUUUUCCAGAUUUUUGGUUUAGAUUUUGUUAAUUAAUUCUUGUGAUUGCUUUACUUCCCUGUUUUGGUUUAGAUUUUUGGCUGGGAGUAAGCGAUUGUUGUACUUCCCUGUUUUGUUUUCGAAAUGAGCUGUAGUUAGUGAUGUAUUGUGUGAGUUGCUUUGUGAUCAUGUGUCAAAUUUUUCCUUUGCUAUUCUUUGGUUUUUGUUCCUAUCUUGGAGGAUUUGUUAUGGGUUAUUAUGGGUUAGCUUUGCGUAAUACUUAUCUGAUAUAAAGUAACUUAGAUUUUAAGAUGAGGAUGUGAUGCGCUGCAUAUACUUGGAAUGUUAAUAGUGGGUGAUUUUUAUUGGUUAAUUACCAGACUGUAGAAGAGGUAACACUUUUGUUUUAAUGGAAAUAGUCUCUCAAAUAUUUAUAGUUUCAGAUACAUAUGCUGCCUGCCAGUUAGUAUGGCAGUGAAGAUGGUCAUCCAAAUUCAGACAUUUCACUUUGAAUAAAUCCAUCAUUUUUACAGAAACCCUGCAAUCAUGAGAAUAUUCUUCCUGCAAUAAAGAAAAUUCUCCACUCAAUUUAUACAUGUAUCAUGCAUGACAGAACCGUAGAGAUGGAAUAAUCAUAAGCAAUAGAACAAAUAUAGCAGGUUUCAAGUCAUUCUUCCAUAUUCUAAAGAUGCGAAAAAGAAUAUUAUGUGGCCAAAGGAAAAACGUGCAACUUAUUGUAAGCGCCACAAUCAUCAUAUUUUCUCUAGAGAGUUCAUGUGAUGCCAAAUCUGAGCAUUUCUAUGGCUAACAUGUAUUCCUUUUCUUGCAAAAGAGAAUCAUGUUUCCUAGCGGAUGUUGUCUUUACAUUAUAAGCUGUUUUGUUGCUUGACUUUUUAUUCUUUGCACAUCCCUUUCUCUGUCAUUUUUGUCUUGAAAGGAGUAUAUGUCAUGUAUUGACUCCAUGAAAUGAUUUUAGAAAGGGAAGAAUUAUGUUGCUUUGAGGGUGAAGUCUUAAAAUUCAUUCUCUAUGAGAUGAUUUUAGACCUGGAAGAAUCAUGUUGCUUUUAUCAAUAUAUAAUACGAUUAAGGAAUCCUGCGCUCUCCUUAAUCCGGGGUCCUACGUGGCAUAUCUAAGAAUUCACCAUUCAAAAUCCCUGCAAUUCUAGAGCCUCUAGCUCAAUUCUCUAUCGCUGACGUGGCAAUAUAAUUCCACAUCAAUUAUUAGUAUUAUUUAGUUAAGUAUAUCAUCACAAUUAAACAUUAUAAUGAUUCGACCUUCUCCACCAGAUUUCCCUUCUCCUCUCCUCCAUCAAAUUUCCACCGGCGAUUCUCGACCCACCGGCCGAUGCCACCUCCAUUUUCCCCUCCCUCUGCCGGCGAUUCGACUCACCGGCCGCAGCCGCGAUCUGCCACCUUUCGCCGCCCGCUAGAGAUCUGCUCUUCCACCUUCUCCGAUGCCACCUCCAUUUUCCCCUCCCUCCCCCGGCGAUUCGGCUCACCGGCCGCAUUCCACCGCGAUUCGCCGCAAUGAGAUCUGCCCCUUCCACAGUUCCACCUUCUGAUUCGAGGUCCGGCGAAGAGCGCCUCUUUGCGAUUUUCGGCUCUUUGCGAUUCCCGGCGCGAAUCGCCGCGCCCCUAGAUCCCCAAAUCCUCACCGCCUCUUUGCGAUUUUCGGCGACCACGGCAGCCAUGGCCUCCGAUCUGCCCCUCCCACCACCAGAAAACCAGAAAUCGAUCGUCCACCUCCUUCCCCCUAUGGUAAGUAUUAAAUGUUUGACUAUUUUAAAUAUGGAAUGAUUAUUAUUUUAGAUAGAACAAAUUUUGAACGCAGGAGCAAUGAGCAGGAGCAGCCAUCGUUGAACGCAGUUGUAAGUGAAAAUUCCGCCUACUGCCGUCUCCCUCUCCCUCUCCGCCCCCGCCGGUGUAUUUGCCCUAUUUUGAAAGGUUUGUGAUUAUUCAUAAACUUUUGGUGCAUUUUUCUUAUUUUUCUCAUAUUAUUUCAUAAUAGAUCCGUGUUUUGUUUAUCAGUCGUUCACAAUCGCUGCUCCGACCGCCGUCGAUCGUCUCCGGUUAGUGUUUGCCCCGCCCCCUGCUCUGCCGCCGGCGAUCAUUCUCUUUCAAAAUCAUUAGUGACAUUGUAAAUAUCUGUAUCAUUUCUUUCAAAAUCAUUAGUGUUGAACCAUUUAUUUUUUUUAAUAUUAUAUCUUUGUCAUCAAACUUUACUUGCUUAUUUUUGUAAUAUUAUUGCCGAUUUUUAGGUGAAUUAAGAUUGUCAUAUUAUUUUACUCGCUUAUUUUUUUAAUAUUAUAUCUUUGUCAUCCAACUUUACUUGCUUAUUUUUGUAAUAUUAUUGUCGAUUUUUAGAUGAAUUAAGAUUGUCAUAUAUAUUGCUAUUUAAGGUCGAUAGAUUCAGCAAAGCAAUAGAUUGAAAAGGUAUGGAAUUUGUUUGUGUAGACUUUAAUAAACAACAGAUUACACACUCUCACCG
Molecule: long non-coding RNA, 3887 nt
Filed under: Salvia miltiorrhiza (redroot sage)
Lineage: Eukaryota; Viridiplantae; Streptophyta; Magnoliopsida; Lamiales; Lamiaceae
Description: long non-coding RNA (SMIL_LNC010324)
Source: RNAcentral